UACAGAGGGGGCAAGCGUUGUUCGGAAUUACUGGGCGUAAAGGGCGCUUAGGCGGCCCGCUAAGUCUAACGUGAAAUCCCCGAGCUCAACUCGGGAACUGCGUCCGAUACUGGCGGGCUUGAAUCCGGGAGAGGGAUGCGGAAUUCCAGGUGUAGCGGUGAAAUGCGUAGAUAUCUGGAGGAAUACCGGUGGCGAAGGCGGCAUCCUGGACCGACAUUGACGCUGAGGAGCGAAAGCUAGGGGAGCAAACGGG
Molecule: ribosomal RNA, 253 nt
Filed under: uncultured bacterium
Lineage: Bacteria
Description: partial 16S ribosomal RNA
Rfam family: Bacterial small subunit ribosomal RNA
Source: RNAcentral